CGGGGCUUAAAGUCUUGUAAUUGGAAUGAUGGGAAUUUAAACCUCUUCCAGAGUAUCAAUUGGAGGGCAAGUCUGGUGCCAGCAGCCGCGGUAAUUCCAGCUCCAAUAGCGUAUAUUAAAAUUGUUGCAGUUAAAAAGCUCGUAGUUGAAUUUCUGCUGCAUUGCUUGUGUCCCUCUGGGGUCUGUGCAUGUGGCUUUUUUCGGACGGAGUUUCUUUGUCUGAAUGUUUACUUUGAGAAAAUUAGAGUGCUCAAAGCAGGCUUUCGCCUUGAAUAGUUUAGCAUGGAAUAAUAAAGUAGGACUUUGGUUCUAUUUUGUUGGUUUUAGGUACCAAAGUAAUGGUUAAUAGGAACAGUUGGGGGCAUUCGUAUUUAACUGUCAGAGGUGAAAUUCUUAGAUUUGUUAAAGACGAACUACUGCGAAAGCAUUUGCCAAGGAUGUUUUCAUUAAUCAAGAAC
Molecule: ribosomal RNA, 458 nt
Filed under: Theileria annulata
Lineage: Eukaryota; Apicomplexa; Aconoidasida; Piroplasmida; Theileriidae
Description: SSU rRNA
Rfam family: Eukaryotic small subunit ribosomal RNA
Source: RNAcentral